Molecule: ribosomal RNA, 287 nt
Filed under: uncultured prokaryote
Description: partial 16S ribosomal RNA
Rfam family: Bacterial small subunit ribosomal RNA
Source: RNAcentral
CACGGGGGUUGCGAGCGUUGUCCGGAAUUACUGGGGCGUAAAGGGCGCGUAGGCGGUUUUUUUAAGUUAGAUGUGAAAACCCAGGGCUUAACUUUGGGCGUGCAUUUAAAACUGGAGAGCUUGAGUGCAGGAGAGGUAAGUGGAAUUCCUAGUGUAGCGGUGAAAUGCGUAGAUAUUAGGAGGAACACCAGUGGCGAAGGCGACUUACUGGACUGUAACUGACGCUGAGGCGCGAAAGCGUGGGGAGCAAACAGGAUUAGAUACCCUGGUAGUCCCUGAGCGGGGCU